Long non-coding RNA from Ornithodoros turicata, 650 nucleotides. RefSeq lists it as uncharacterized. The record is from RefSeq and is a predicted model, not a curated record. NCBI's taxonomy places the organism in Eukaryota, Metazoa, Arthropoda, Arachnida, Ixodida, Argasidae. The transcript is spliced from 3 exons.
ACAUCAAUUGUUCUCAGUCGUCGGUUUCGCGCUGUCGUAGGUGGACGUGUGUGUGUUGUGCUUCUUGUUUCAUGCUAAUUACCACAUGGAGGUGGAACCCCUGUAGCUGACCAGAAAGACCAGGACUGUCAGAUGCCAUGCAUGAAUUGGGUAUGGGAUAGAGAGAGAAGUAUUGGGAUUCUAUUGGAGAAUUUGCAUACCCCUACUUAUGCUAGUCCUCACUAGGCCAACCAAAGCAGUUCAAGUUCUUCAAACAGAGCUGACCCAGCAGAAGGCCUCUGGCCACUCCCACGGAAUUAUUGGAUUGGCCUUUUGCAUUCAUGCCUGAAUGCUGUCCAGGGCAUCCCACAGGCACCAGCUGCGUGACGAUGCCCCACCCCACGGAUUGUCUUAUGCCAACAUCGUGCUCCCGUAGGGAACUAUGGACACUAGAAGAUGGACUGUGGACAUGCUAAGGAAUUCUUCAGUAGCUUCAUGGUGCACUGGAGAAGAAACAGCAGACCUGGACGAAGUAAACAAACGGCCCUUAUCAGGGCCACCAUAUGUCUGCCACAAUGGCUAGCGUUCUGCUGAUAGAACAAACCCUGAUGAUGAUAGAAGAUCACUGAACUAACCAUAACUCAAGCACGAUGGCUACAACAGUGCUGACA